This is a non-coding RNA of Pelobates cultripes (western spadefoot toad), 333 nucleotides long. Lineage: Eukaryota; Metazoa; Chordata; Amphibia; Anura; Pelobatidae. The record is from the annotation of a GenBank genome assembly.
CUGAAUCAUUAAAAAAAAUAAAUCUCUGUAAACCUGUUUAUUUUAUUGAAGCAUUUUUAACUAAAAUACUAAUGUCUGUUAACUGUGAGGAAUUUAAUGUAUUAAAUAUGCGAUUAUCUGGUUACCAUAAAAUGGACCUUUUAUUAACUUUGGGUUAAGUAUUAAAAUGUACUAAGAGCACCUAUCAAAUGUAAGUAAUGAAUCUGUUUAUCAAGUGCCAAGACACUCCUUGUACUAUAACCACUGCAGAGCGCUGUGAUGGUUAUAUUGUUUGAAGUAAAACUGUUAUUAAACGGUUUGACUUCUUACACUGGUUAAAUGCCAAGACACUCC